AGUGAACGCUGGCGGUAGGCCUAACACAUGCAAGUCGAACGGCAGCACAGUAAGAGCUUGCUCUUACGGGUGGCGAGUGGCGGACGGGUGAGGAAUACAUCGGAAUCUACUUUUUCGUGGGGGAUAACGUAGGGAAACUUACGCUAAUACCGCAUACGACCUACGGGUGAAAGCAGGGGAUCUUCGGACCUUGCGCGAUUGAAUGAGCCGAUGUCGGAUUAGCUAGUUGGCGGGGUAAAGGCCCACCAAGGCGACGAUCCGUAGCUGGUCUGAGAGGAUGAGCUGCCACACUGGAACUGAGAGCAGGUGCAGAGUCGGCCGGGAGGGACCAGUGGGGGAUAUUGGACAACGGGCGCAAGUAUGAUCCAGCCAUACAGCGUGGGUGAAGAAGGCCUUCGGGUUGUAAAGCCCUUUUGUUGGGAAAAAAAAGCAGCAGGUUAAUACCCCGCUGUUCUGACGGUACGCAAAGAAUAAGCAACGGCUAACUUCGUG
Molecule: ribosomal RNA, 492 nt
Filed under: uncultured bacterium
Lineage: Bacteria
Description: partial 16S ribosomal RNA
Rfam family: Bacterial small subunit ribosomal RNA
Source: RNAcentral